This 335-nucleotide ribosomal RNA is filed under the name uncultured Planctomycetales bacterium. Its description in RNAcentral is "bacterial SSU rRNA". It matches the Rfam family "Bacterial small subunit ribosomal RNA", at positions 473 to 806 of the family's 1533-position model. The record is from RNAcentral. Lineage: Bacteria; Pseudomonadati; Planctomycetota; Planctomycetia; Planctomycetales.
CAAAGGCUCCAAAGGAAGCCACGGCUAACUCUGUGCCAGCAGCCGCGGUAAUACAGAGGUGGCGAGCGUUGUUCGGAAUUAUUGGGCGUAAAGAGCACGUAGGUGGGUUUGCAAGUCAGAUGUGAAAGCCUUCUGUUCAACGGAAGAAUUGCAUCUGAAACUGCUGAUCUUGAGUAUAGGAGGGGAGAAUGGAACUUCUGGUGGAGCGGUGAAAUGCGUAGAUAUCAGAAGGAACGCCGGCGGCGAAAGCGAUUCUCUGGCCUAUUACUGACACUCAGUGUGCGAAAGCUAGGGGAGCAAACGGGAUUAGAUACCCCGGUAGUCCUAGCUGUAAA